Molecule: ribosomal RNA, 460 nt
Filed under: uncultured bacterium
Lineage: Bacteria
Description: SSU rRNA
Rfam family: Bacterial small subunit ribosomal RNA
Source: RNAcentral
AGAAUCAACGCUGGCGGCGUGCCUAACACAUGCAAGUCGAACGAGAAAGUGGAGCAAUCCAUGAGUAAAGUGGCGCACGGGUGAGUAACACGUGACUAACCUACCCUUGAGUGGGGGAUAACCUAGGGAAACCUGGGCUAAUACCGCAUAAUACCUUCGGGUCAAAGGAGCAAUUCGCUUAAGCGAGGGGGUCGCGGCCGAUUAGUUAGUUGGCGGGGUAAUGGCCCACCAAGACGAUGAUCGGUAUCCGGCCUGAGAGGGCGCACGGACACACUGGAACUGAAACACGGUCCAGACUCCUACGGGAGGCAGCAGUGGGGAAUUUGCGCAAUGGGGGAAACCCUGACGCAGCAACGCCGCGUGGAGGAUGAAGUCCCUUGGGACGUAAACUCCUUUCGAUCGGGACGAUUAUGACGGUACCGGAAGAAGAAGCCCGGACUAACUUCGCGCCAGCAGCCGC